GACGAACGCUGGCGGCGUGCCUAAUACAUGCAAGUCGAGCGGAUCUUUGGGAGCUUGCUCCCAAAGAUUAGCGGCGGACGGGUGAGUAACACGUGGGCAACCUGCCUAUGAGACUGGGAUAACUCCGGGAAACCGGGGCUAAUACCGGAUAAUUCUUUUCUACACAUGUAGAAAAGCUGAAAGAUGGUUUCGGCUAUCACUCAUAGAUGGGCCCGCGGCGCAUUAGCUAGUUGGUGAGGUAACGGCUCACCAAGGCGACGAUGCGUAGCCGACCUGAGAGGGUGAUCGGCCACACUGGGACUGAGACACGGCCCAGACUCCUACGGGAGGCAGCAGUAGGGAAUCUUCCGCAAUGGACGAAAGUCUGACGGAGCAACGCCGCGUGAGUGAUGAAGGUUUUCGGAUCGUAAAACUCUGUUGUUAGGGAAGAACAAGUACCGGAGUAACUGCCGGUACCUUGACGGUACCUAACCAGAAAGCCACGGCUAACUA
This 492-nucleotide ribosomal RNA is filed under the name Bacillus sp. LST-1. RNAcentral's name for it is "bacterial SSU rRNA". It matches the Rfam family "Bacterial small subunit ribosomal RNA", at positions 28 to 503 of the family's 1533-position model. Lineage: Bacteria; Bacillati; Bacillota; Bacilli; Caryophanales; Bacillaceae. The record is from RNAcentral.